UCUGCUUGACUAGCUGAGAGGAGGUGCAUGGCCGUCGUCAGUUCGUACUGUGAAGCAUCCUGUUAAGUCAGGCAACGAGCGAGACCCACGCCAACAGUUGCCAGCAUGUCCUCCGGGAUGAUGGGGGACACUGUUGGGACCGCCUCUGCUAAAGAGGAGGAAGGAAUGGGGCAACGGUAGGUCAGCAUGCCCCGAAUUAUCCGGGCUACACGCGGGCUACAAUGGUCAGGACAAUGGGUAUCGACACCGAGAGGUGGAGGCAAUCUCCUAAACCUGUCCUUGUUCGGAUUGUGGGCUGCAACUCGCCCACAUGAAGCUGGAAUCCGUAGUAAUCGCGUUUCAAAAUAGCGCGGUGAAUAUGUCCCUGCUCCUU
This 373-nucleotide ribosomal RNA is filed under the name uncultured Methanolinea sp. RNAcentral's name for it is "bacterial SSU rRNA". It matches the Rfam family "Archaeal small subunit ribosomal RNA", at positions 967 to 1338 of the family's 1478-position model. The record is from RNAcentral. Lineage: Archaea; Methanobacteriati; Methanobacteriota; Methanomicrobia; Methanomicrobiales; Methanoregulaceae.